GUAUUGAUCGCGUAUCACCGCAAAAAGAAAAUACAUUCUACACUGCUUUAAGGUUUGUGUGAAAAAACGUGGGCCCCCCCUUUCAGGGGAACUCACGCGGUUGUGCACAAAGGGGUGAGAUGGAUUGUAAGAGAGCACCGGAGCGUGCACAAAGUCAGCGACAGCCCCGGCACCUCCGUUAUACGAUAAUGAUCCUUCCGCAGGUUCACCUACGGAAA
This 218-nucleotide unclassified non-coding RNA is filed under the name uncultured fungus. Its description in RNAcentral is "sequence contains ITS1". Lineage: Eukaryota; Fungi. The record is from RNAcentral.